UUCCAUGUGCGCAUCGUCGGCUCAUCGAAAUCGAAAAGCUAUUGCAAAUCAAAUGGAAAAGACAAGGGCUGGAGUACCAGGGCAACCCCCUAUUAAAAGGCCAGAAGUGUGGAUUAUCGGGGACAGCUACGUCCGCCGUGGAGAGGAGAGAGCCAGGGAAACCUGUGGCCCCCA
Gadus morhua (Atlantic cod) is the source of this 174-nucleotide long non-coding RNA. RefSeq lists it as uncharacterized. NCBI's taxonomy places the organism in Eukaryota, Metazoa, Chordata, Actinopteri, Gadiformes, Gadidae. The transcript is spliced from 3 exons. The record is from RefSeq and is a predicted model, not a curated record.